RNAcentral lists this unclassified non-coding RNA (788 nucleotides) under Hevea brasiliensis (rubber tree). The record is from RNAcentral. Lineage: Eukaryota; Viridiplantae; Streptophyta; Magnoliopsida; Malpighiales; Euphorbiaceae.
GCCCACUUUAAUUACAUAAGCUCUUUUUUUUCCCCUCCGGACGGGGGAGACCGCCUCUCAUUCUCGGUUCAGUGGGUUUUUCCUCGUUGUUGUGCGUUAGAGGUGACUGAUUGAGGAAUUUUUCGGAUGUUGAUGCAUCUAUGUAUUGGUUCUCUCUAUUGUUUUUCUUCUUUUAUUGGUUGUAGUGUGGUGGUUGCAAAUCUAAUGAGCUUAAAGGAAUGAACCUUCAUUGAUCUAAGUUUUUUGAGAGGUAUGCAUGGCCAUUUGAACGAUUGAGUAGAUUUGACCAGAGGGAGAUCUGUUGUUGAAGUGAGGAGGUAGCAUCCCUAGGGUUUAAAGAGUUCGGUUGAAGAGAGUGUCGACGCCCUACUUAAACGAGGUUGAGAUGCCGAUCAGGGUCCUGCUCUUUCGUUUUCUUCCUUCUAAGUGGGUGAUUGAUCUACACUUGAAUGGUUUACUAGGCUUUAUGGCCUUUAUUCUUUGCAUGGCUGUUUGUAGGUUCUAAUUUGGUUGUUCUAUCUUUUGCUAGGUAGUUGAGCCUCUAUCUGCUAGUGAAAGUUGCUUAAUUGAGCGAUACCCGACGGGGCAACAUGGGUGACUGUUGAUCAGAUUCUUAGCUGCGGGUUCUCCACUUGUUAGGAUACCUGAUUUAGGUUGGGAUCUGAAUUGGGCCUAUUUAGUAUUUUGCAAGCCUAUAUUAUUUUUAUGAAUUAUAGUUAGAAUUAUUUUGUGUAGUGCCAUAGGAUCUUUUUAAACAUUGUAUUUCUCAACGUUUACAUCCCUUUUAA